This 464-nucleotide ribosomal RNA is filed under the name uncultured bacterium. RNAcentral describes it as "partial 16S ribosomal RNA". It matches the Rfam family "Bacterial small subunit ribosomal RNA", at positions 339 to 795 of the family's 1533-position model. The record is from RNAcentral.
CUACGGGUUGCUGCAGUGGGGAAUAUUGCACAAUGGGCGCAAGCCUGAUGCAGCCAUGCCGCGUGUAUGAAGAAGGCCUUCGGGUUGUAAAGUACUUUCAGCGGGGAGGAAGGGAGUAAAGUUAAUACCUUUGCUCAUUGACGUUACCCGCAGAAGAAGCACCGGCUAACUCCGUGCCAGCAGCCGCGGUAAUACGGAGGGUGCAAGCGUUAAUCGGAAUUACUGGGCGUAAAGCGCACGCAGGCGGUUUGUUAAGUCAGAUGUGAAAUCCCCGGGCUCAACCUGGGAACUGUAUCUGAUACUGGCAAGCUUGAGUCUCGUAGAGGGGGGUAGAAUUCCAGGUGUAGCGGUGAGAUGCGUAGAGAUCUGGAGGAAUACCGGUGGCGAAGGCGGCCCCCUGGACGAAGACUGACGCUCAGGUGCGAAAGCGUGGGGAGCAAACAGGAUUAGAUACCCCAGUAGUC